RNAcentral lists this ribosomal RNA (62 nucleotides) under Sonchus kirkii. Its description in RNAcentral is "partial 26S ribosomal RNA". The record is from RNAcentral. Lineage: Eukaryota; Viridiplantae; Streptophyta; Magnoliopsida; Asterales; Asteraceae.
UCGUUAAAAAACGAUAUAUCGACCGCGACCCCAGGUCAGGCGGGACUACCCGCUGAGUUUAA